GGGGGUAUAGCUCAGUGAUCGAUCAUUUGACUGCAGAUCGGGUGGUCCCCGGUUCAAACCCGGGUGCUCCCA
RNAcentral lists this transfer RNA (72 nucleotides) under Trichonephila inaurata madagascariensis. It matches the Rfam family "tRNA". Rfam says of the family: Transfer RNA (tRNA) molecules are approximately 80 nucleotides in length. Their secondary structure includes four short double-helical elements and three loops (D, anti-codon, and T loops). Further hydrogen bonds mediate the characteristic L-shaped molecular structure. tRNAs have two regions of fundamental functional importance: the anti-codon, which is responsible for specific mRNA codon recognition, and the 3' end, to which the tRNAs corresponding amino acid is attached (by aminoacyl-tRNA synthetases). tRNAs cope with the degeneracy of the genetic code in two manners: having more than one tRNA (with a specific anti-codon) for a particular amino acid; and 'wobble' base-pairing, i.e. permitting non-standard base-pairing at the 3rd anti-codon position. The record is from Rfam by way of RNAcentral. Lineage: Eukaryota; Metazoa; Arthropoda; Arachnida; Araneae; Nephilidae.